GCUCCAGGCGCUGAGCUGUCAGCACAGAGCCCGACGCGGGGCUCGAACUCACAAACCGAGCGAGAUCGUGACCUGAGCCGAAGCCGGAUGCUCAACCGACAGAGCCCCCCGGGGCGCCCCUGACCAACCCCUAAGCCUUAUUCACUGACCUCAGCUGGCUGGUUGGGGUCUUUAGAAGUGGGAAGAUGAUCAUCAGAAAACAGGUGUUUUCCCCACCAGAAUCCCUACCCCCAGGGGACUGUCGGAUACACUUUGUUAGCAAGCCCAUGCCAGAGAACAUUCUAGUUGCUGCUUUUCUGUGCUUCGCGUGAGAACAGUGAAAGCUUGAAUCCGUUACCCGUGGCCCAGUGAGACCAGCACUCCCCCUGCCCCCCACACCAGCCUGCGCCCUGGUCACGCCCCUAAUCACGGGCCAUCGCCGAGGACCACUGGCAUUCACUCCGUGUCCCUAAGGAAGAAACACAGCCGUGUCUCUGCCCACGUCAGGCCUCACUGGCUGGAGAGCUGGCCAAGGUCAGGAGCUGGCUGCUAGGUGCUCAGGGUGAGGACCAGGCGUGGGCAUGACGGAGAAGAGGGGACAACAGCUUCGAGCCCAGAGGGGUGGGUCCAUUGUGCCAGUGAGCACUUCCUGCUUGCGAGGGGCCCGGAGCGUCUGGGAGGGUUCGUGCGUGCAAGUGGGAGAAGAAGUCAACCCAGGUCGAUAUAAGGAGAAAAAAGUAAUUAAUUGGGAGGCUAUCGCGUGGGUGCCACAAUGGCCACAAACACUCGAGAGUCAGGUUCUGGGAAAUGGGCGGCUAACAGGCAGGCCCGACCAAAAUCAUGCCAAAGAGCCGGUCGUGUGGCUUCUGUCCCCCACAUACUGGGCUCCCAGCUGGCCUCCUGCAGGUGCCAUCGCCUAAAUGCAUUCUGCCCCCUCCCUGCUUCUCUGGGUCGCCAGCUCCUGAUUCAGAGUCCCAGGUGGGUGGGGCUGGUUGGUUGAAUCAAAGCCACUUGCCACGUCCCUGCUGCCAGGGGGCUGGGAGGACAGUUGAGACCUUGCAGCUUCUGUGGGCUUUGUCUCCCACCAGGACACUAUGGCAGGGAGCCCCCCAAACAUAGGGGUGAGAUCUUGGACAGCCAUUACCACAGGGUGAGACUGCCUGUAGCCUGGAGGAACCUCGAGCCUGCAGACCGGCCAAUGUCAAAUACUGACUUUAUCGUGCGUAAGAACCAACCGGGGCAGCCAGUGUUUUCAAACAGAUCACGGCUCACUCCUGGGUCAUGCAAUCAGUUUAGCGGGUCAUGGCCAGAAGUUUUAAAACGUGAUGUAGAAGAGAAACUCAGAUAUGCAGUAUCGUCAAAGACCCCUCUGCUGCUGGUUGAAUGUGGACAAGAGCGGAGGAGAGACCCUUCGGGACAAGCCUGAGGCCCAUCUACAGGAGAGAUGCUAAGGGCCCAAACCUCAGCGGUGCUCACCAGAACAGAGAGGAGAAGUUCCAGGCAAGAUCAGGAAAGCCAGCGCCGGCUGGAGGCCUGACCAAGAAGAGGACAGGCUCCCCGUUGCCGGGAAGAUCAGCCCAACUGAGACCAACAAUUAUACCAAGUUGCAAAUAAACACAACCCAGGGAGGGUAAAUCUUCCUCCCGGCCAUACUUUCUGCUGGAUUCCAAGAGUGAGCCAGAGAUUUUGCUCUUUGCAAUUUAAUCACAACGUGUUUGCUCCAUGGUUAAGAAAGUGGCUUCACCGGGGUGUUUGUGUGGCUCAGUCGGUCGAACGUCUGACUUCGGCUCAGGUCAUGAUCUCGUGGUUCCUGAGUUCGACCCCCGCGUCGGGCUCUGUGCUG
Molecule: long non-coding RNA, 1822 nt
Organism: Felis catus (domestic cat)
Lineage: Eukaryota; Metazoa; Chordata; Mammalia; Carnivora; Felidae
Exons: 5
Source: RefSeq, a predicted model, not a curated record